UCUUCCGUAGUAUAGUGGUCAGUAUGUGAGCUUGUCAUUGAACAACGCUCGAGACCCGGGUUCAAUUCCCGGCGGGAGAG
RNAcentral lists this transfer RNA (80 nucleotides) under Thermothelomyces hinnuleus. Its description in RNAcentral is "tRNA-Asp". It matches the Rfam family "tRNA". Rfam says of the family: Transfer RNA (tRNA) molecules are approximately 80 nucleotides in length. Their secondary structure includes four short double-helical elements and three loops (D, anti-codon, and T loops). Further hydrogen bonds mediate the characteristic L-shaped molecular structure. tRNAs have two regions of fundamental functional importance: the anti-codon, which is responsible for specific mRNA codon recognition, and the 3' end, to which the tRNAs corresponding amino acid is attached (by aminoacyl-tRNA synthetases). tRNAs cope with the degeneracy of the genetic code in two manners: having more than one tRNA (with a specific anti-codon) for a particular amino acid; and 'wobble' base-pairing, i.e. permitting non-standard base-pairing at the 3rd anti-codon position. The record is from RNAcentral. Lineage: Eukaryota; Fungi; Ascomycota; Sordariomycetes; Sordariales; Chaetomiaceae. RNAcentral also lists the same sequence under 1 other name.